CGUGACCAAGGCAGGUUUAUGGCAAGCACGUGUUUGGCUGUUAUGGCUGCCAAAAGGGAAGCCGGUUCUUUCACCCUAAAUGUCCAGGGGAGACCCUCCGGCAGCUGUGUGCCAGGACCUGCUCUUCAAAGUUAGGAUUUGUUCCUGCUGCUGUGAUAAAACCUGAUCAAAAGCAACUUAAAGAAAAGACUUAUUUGUCUUAUACACCCCAGGUUAGUCCAUUGAGGGAGCCAUGGCGGGAAUGGAAGGGAAAAAUUGGAGGAAAAGCCCUGCUUUACUGACUUUACUCCAAACUUACUGCUUACUCCCUAUUACUUCCUUAGCUUCUUUACAUAACCCAGGCCACCUGCCCAGGGGAGGUACAAUCCCCAGUGGGCCAGGCCCUCCCUCAUCAAGCAUUAAUCAAGAAAAUGCCCUACAGACUUGGCCUACAGGCAAUCUGAUGGGAGAUUUCUUUUUUGAUCGUUUUUUCUAGCCAAGUACCUCUAACCUGUGACAAGCUGACCAAGGGGAAAAAAAAAGAACCCAGCUUCUACUAGAAUCGAACUAUUCUAGAAUGUUAUUGACAGUUGUCUGUUACUGAUAGACCCUUGACCAAAAGCAAGUUGGAGGAAAUGGUUUAUUCACUGGGUUCCAUAUAGCAGUUCAUCCUCAAAGAGGGCAGAAACUCAAACAGGACAGCAACCUGGAGGCAGGAGCUGAUGCAGAGGCCAUGGAGGGGUGCUGCCUACUGGCUUGUUCCUCAUGGCUUGCUCAGCCUCUUAUAAGAUGGCACUGGGAACUGGGCCCUCCUAGCACUGAAAAUACCUUACAGCCUGAUCUUCUGGAUCUAGCACAGUCCACUUCUGGUUUUGUCUUAGUCUCUAGAAUGCUAAAGGGGAUAUGUUGCAGGGAAGUAAUCAUGCCCCACAAAGGCAUCUAUCUGAACUUGGAGCCUAUGUGGAAGGGGAUGUGGGACCACAUUGCCUUUUCACUGGGGUAAACUCCUCAGUCUUGCACAAGGAACAGGGAAACAAAUGUGCUGGUGGGCAGCUCAACUCUAGCCUUUUCCCGAAAGGCCUGUCUAUGCCUCCUGGUGCACAGAACUUGCUGUGCUCGGGGGUGAGCCCAGCAUUCCCAUUGCCUCUGGGCUUCCAAAACAUGGCACAUGAUCCUUGAAAUAAAAACAUGUUACUGAUUAUUUUUCCAAGGAUGAAAGUGUAGCUGAGUGAACAGAAAGGCAAGCCAAAAGAGCAGGGCUUAUCAUUGCUCUCUGCAUUUGAACAUUUCUACUCCUAUUUGGAGAGGCCCAGAGGAGCUAACUCUACCUCCGUUUGCUAAGCACAUGG
RNAcentral lists this long non-coding RNA (1328 nucleotides) under Cricetulus griseus (Chinese hamster). RNAcentral's name for it is "lncRNA (ENSCGRG00015040174.1)". The record is from RNAcentral. Lineage: Eukaryota; Metazoa; Chordata; Mammalia; Rodentia; Cricetidae.